Octopus sinensis (East Asian common octopus) is the source of this 553-nucleotide long non-coding RNA. RefSeq lists it as uncharacterized. The record is from RefSeq and is a predicted model, not a curated record. The transcript is spliced from 2 exons. Lineage: Eukaryota; Metazoa; Mollusca; Cephalopoda; Octopoda; Octopodidae.
UAAGAAUUAUUUAAUCAACUUUAUUCUGUAAAAUAGUAUUUUAUGUUGAUCGCAAACAAAUAUGUAUUGCGCACGUGCGUUACAAGUAUGUAUCGCGCAUGCGCCAAUCAGCUCAUUUGCAUAUGCAAGUCGCUGUAGGAUCGACUACCUACAACUGGCUAGUGCAGAUGCGCGACUAGUACCGGAAAUCUGUUUCUGAUUUUGGUUUAUGUGGAGGCAGUGGAUAUGGUACAGGGAAUGAGUCAAACCAAAGACUGCAUACGAUGAACAGAAUAUGGCUCCUCUGAAGAGUGCACCACUCAACAUGGACUGAUUAGUGAUUUCAGGCUGCGAGACGCACGACGGUCAGGAUAAUGAAGGUUCAAAACUGACAGCAGAUGAUGGUAUUGAGCAUCCAUUUAAAACUAUUAUUUGAGGCAUUCUCAAGUGCUUGAUAUAAUUCCAAAUAUACAAGAUCUUCAUGGUGAUGACACACAUGAGGAAUUUUCUACUGGACCAGAAUUCUAUACACUCUGUAGAAGAAAUGAAUAAAAGUUCUUCAAAACCAACAAAA